GUAAAUAGUACACACAAAUGUCAAUGUGUUACUUGUGAUUGAAUCUAUUUAUGUGCAUUGCCAGAGUAAGAGUAAUGCUAUUUGUACAUCAUGAUUAUAAAUUGAUGUACAUAAUGAUGAUAUGAAAGAGAGAGAGAGAAAAAACAGAGAAGUAAAAAAGAAGAAAAGAAAGUUAAGUUAAAAGUCGGUUAAUAUAAGCCACAUCAUCAUUCUGUACGUUAAACCAUGAUGUACAAAUAACAUUAUUCGCAUCGCAAAUAGUCAAAGCAGUACAGACAAUCAAUUCCAGUAAUAUAAUAUUUGAACAAUAUAACGGAUACAAAACUUUCCAACCUCUUUAUCUAUACAACAUCACAAAUUACAUCAAAAAAUUUCCAAAAAUAGCAUGUUCAUGAUAAGAGUAUCAGUAAACUUCUUGUGUCAAAGGCCAUGUGAUUAAGUAAACCCAACUGGAUACGCAGGAUUUACUACCAUACCAUGAUAUUGCUAUAAACUGAUAUAGCCCAUAGCCCGAAAAGAAUUAUUAGGAAGCACCGAUUGAAGAACUUAACACCUGAAUCUGCAUAAAUAUGAAUAAAUAUACAUUAAUUGACACACCAGUUUUGCUGUUUUACUAAGGUAGGGGUUUAUUAGGUGGGUCCCGCGACACACCAGUUUUGCUGUUUUACCAGGUUAGGGGUUUAGUAGGUGGGUCGGACCCACAUGUAUAAAAAGUUUAACCUCCCCUGUUGUGAGUAUUCGGUACCCUGUACCCCAAGCCUCACUCUUGACACACUAAGCACAUUUUCUGGUACGCAGUACCCGAUCAUAUUGGUUGUACUAGGAACAAAAUAUCAUCCUAAAAAUUGUCCAUUCUGUUUAAGAUACCAAACCAAAUAAGCUGUAAAGGGAAAGAACGCUAGUUGUACUCAAAAUUAAAGACAGUAAUACCUUAUUUACGAGUAAGUUCACUUGUUCUCUGUACAUCUCCUUCAAAUCAACAAUAUCUGCACGUAGUUCUUCCAGCUAUGUACAACAUAUCAACUUUAGCNAAUUUCUAUUCAAGCGACAUAUGCAAUAUAUUU
RNAcentral lists this long non-coding RNA (1064 nucleotides) under Olea europaea subsp. europaea. Lineage: Eukaryota; Viridiplantae; Streptophyta; Magnoliopsida; Lamiales; Oleaceae. The record is from RNAcentral.